RNAcentral lists this long non-coding RNA (531 nucleotides) under Mytilus galloprovincialis (Mediterranean mussel). The record is from RNAcentral. Lineage: Eukaryota; Metazoa; Mollusca; Bivalvia; Mytilida; Mytilidae.
UUAGGGAAUUUUUAUUUCUAGUUUAAUUUCCCUUUCGGACAAUACAGGAUGCAAACUAUUUAGAUAUAAAUCUCUGAUUGUUAAAGUGUUUUUCCGAUAGGGAAACAAUUCAUAUAUCAUAGUUUAACCUUAAGCUUUCAAUUCGAAUUUAUAAUUCAUAAGAGAAAUUUCACUCGCCUUAUAAAAAUAAGGAGAUGUGUAUAAAAAUAGGAAGAUACAAUAUGAUUGUCAUAGAGGCUACUCUCUUCAAGAGACCAAUUGGUACAGAAACUAACAACUUUAGGUUAUUGUACGGCCCUUGUCGUUUUCAGUAUUCGUGACGUUAGAUUGUUAUCUAGUGUUCCGAAAUAGUUAUAAUUUGGUUUUUAUUCUAAUGAAACACAUAUUAGAAUUGUUCUCUGGUGUUCCGUGUUCUAAUGCAGUUAGUUCUCUCUGAUUACUCAGCUCGUAUAUGUAGUUGAAUUGUUAUGUACUGUAACAGUUCCAAUUUCUAUAGAUACUUUAGUAUUUUAAUGAGACAUGUUUCGUAAU